Molecule: transfer RNA, 61 nt
Filed under: Bryodema miramae miramae
Lineage: Eukaryota; Metazoa; Arthropoda; Insecta; Orthoptera; Acrididae
Description: tRNA-Ala
Source: RNAcentral
AGGGUUGUAGUUAAUUAUAACAUUUGGUUUGCAACUAAAAACUAUUGAAUUAUCAACCUUA